RNAcentral lists this transfer RNA (83 nucleotides) under Clostridia bacterium. Its description in RNAcentral is "tRNA-Leu". It matches the Rfam family "tRNA". Rfam says of the family: Transfer RNA (tRNA) molecules are approximately 80 nucleotides in length. Their secondary structure includes four short double-helical elements and three loops (D, anti-codon, and T loops). The record is from RNAcentral. Lineage: Bacteria; Bacillati; Bacillota; Clostridia.
GCGCCCGUGGCGGAAUUGGCAGACGCGCCGGAUUUAGGUUCCGGUUCUUACGAGUGCAGGUUCAACUCCUGUCGGGCGCACCA